AAACUUUACACUGCGGGAAACCGCGAUAAGGGGACCCCGAGUGCCAGCACCUAGUGUUGGCUGUCCUACUGUCUAAAUAACAGUGGUUAGCAAGGGCCGGGCAAGACCGGUGCCAGCCGCCGCGGUAACACCAGCCCCUCGAGUGGUGGGGAUGAUUAUUUGGCCUAAAGCGUCCGUAGCCGGCCGAGUAAGUUUCCCGUUAAAUCCAGCGUCUCAAGCGUUGGACUGCGGGAAAUACUGCCCGGCUAGAGAGUGGGAGAGGUAGGCGGUAUUC
Molecule: ribosomal RNA, 274 nt
Filed under: uncultured archaeon
Lineage: Archaea
Description: partial 16S ribosomal RNA
Rfam family: Archaeal small subunit ribosomal RNA
Source: RNAcentral